RNAcentral lists this ribosomal RNA (720 nucleotides) under uncultured bacterium. Its description in RNAcentral is "bacterial SSU rRNA". It matches the Rfam family "Bacterial small subunit ribosomal RNA", at positions 121 to 836 of the family's 1533-position model. The record is from RNAcentral.
GGAACGUAUCCAAUAAUGGGGGAUAACGAGUCGAAAGAUUCGCUAAUACCGCAUACGCCCUACGGGGGAAAGCUGGGGAUCGCAAGACCUGGCGUUAAUGGAGCGGCCGAUAUCUGAUUAGCUAGUUGGUGAGGUAAAGGCUCACCAAGGCGACGAUCAGUAGCUGGUCUGAGAGGACGACCAGCCACACUGGAACUGAGACACGGUCCAGACUCCUACGGGAGGCAGCAGUGGGGAAUUUUGGACAAUGGGCGCAAGCCUGAUCCAGCCAUUCCGCGUGAGUGAAGAAGGCCUUCGGGUUGUAAAGCUCUUUCGCAAGGGAAGAAAACUUACCCUCUAACAUAGGGUGAGGUUGACGGUACCUUGAUAAGAAGCACCGGCUAACUACGUGCCAGCAGCCGCGGUAAUACGUAGGGUGCGAGCGUUAAUCGGAAUUACUGGGCGUAAAGCGUGCGCAGGCGGUUUUGAAAGUCAGAUGUGAAAUCCCCGAGCUCAACUUGGGAACUGCGUUUGAAACUCCAAAACUCGAAUAUGUCAGAGGGGGGUAGAAUUCCACGUGUAGCAGUGAAAUGCGUAGAGAUGUGGAGGAAUACCAAUGGCGAAGGCAGCCCCCUGGGAUAAUAUUGACGCUCAUGCACGAAAGCGUGGGGAGCAAACAGGAUUAGAUACCCUGGUAGUCCACGCCCUAAACGAUGUCUACUAGUUGUUGGUGGAGUAAAA